RNAcentral lists this ribosomal RNA (484 nucleotides) under uncultured bacterium. RNAcentral describes it as "partial 16S ribosomal RNA". It matches the Rfam family "Bacterial small subunit ribosomal RNA", at positions 30 to 507 of the family's 1533-position model. The record is from RNAcentral.
AUUGAACGCUGGCGGCAGGCCUAACACAUGCAAGUCGAGCGGAUGAAGGGAGCUUGCUCCUGGAUUCAGCGGCGGACGGGUGAGUAAUGCCUAGGAAUCUGCCUGGUAGUGGGGGAUAACGUCCGGAAACGGGCGCUAAUACCGCAUACGUCCUGAGGGAGAAAGUGGGGGAUCUUCGGACCUCACGCUAUCAGAUGAGCCUAGGUCGGAUUAGCUAGUUGGUGGGGUAAAGGCCUACCAAGGCGACGAUCCGUAACUGGUCUGAGAGGAUGAUCAGUCACACUGGAACUGAGACACGGUCCAGACUCCUAAGGGAGGCAGCAGUGGGGAAUAUUAGACAAUGGGCGAAAGCCUUAUCCAGCCAUGCCGCGUGUGUGAAGAAGGUCUUCGGAGUGUAAAGCACUUUAAGUUGGGAGGAAGGGCAGUAAGUUAAUACCUUGCUGUUUUGACGGUACCAACAGAAUAAGCACCGGCUAACUUCGUG